GGCAAUCCACUAAUCAGGUAUGUGUUACAUAUGCACUUGAAACCUACAAGUGACUAACAAUACACUGACUUAGCUCACACUAAGAUUCACUCUCUUAGUCUUCUCUAGGAUCCGAUCAACCUUGAUCUCCUAAAGGCAAACUAUACAACUGUAUAUGAAGUUCUUGUUUACACAGAAAGUGCUUCUAAAAAGCUUAUAGUAAACACAAUGAAAUUCAAGAUGAAAGAAAGCUUAGAAGGAUUUGAAUAUUUCUUGCGCGUGUGGGAAUGCUUCUAACCGCUUCUUUCAAUCUUCAGCCUCUAUUUAUACUCCAAGGAUUAGGGUUGAACGUUGCAUGGAAAUGCUACCGUUGGAGGGCAGUUCUGGAAAUUCCAGCUUCGGCUGUGGCUGAGGAUGUUAGGUAGGUCGUCAGGAUAGUACACUUUGCUUUUGUACUUUGGAUAGUGACUUGACCUUAACCUCGUAGACUUCUGAUCAAAGGAGCGCUUCGUAUUGGAACUUGUGAAGCUGAUUGAUCAGAGUCAGAGGGAAGCUUGGAUCCUCUGACCGUUGUACCUUCUGAUCUUCACUUCAGAGGAUCAGUACAUGGUCUUCAGAGCCAGUUGCUUCUGGACUUCAGAGUCUUCACUCUUCAGAGUCUGGAUCGUCAGAGUCUUCUACACCAUUAGAGCUUCUGAGCCUUCAGAGUCUUUUGGUUGUCAGAUCUUCUGGAUCAUCAGAGCUUCAAGUGAGUUGAGUCCUUAUCAGAGCUUGAUUUACUUCAGAUCUUCUGAAGCUUUUCCACUGUUCAGAGUGAACAUGGAGAAUGCGAAAGCGUUGCUUGGGUCACUCUUUAAGCACAGUGCUUCUGAUUUGUGUGAGAUAAAAUAGAGGUCAGAGCCUGUAAAUAGCACACUCAGAAAAACACGUUAGAGUACCACAAUUGUUCAUAUCAAAAGGUUAACUUGUAAUCAUCAAAACAUAGAGUUGUACUACUAGAUCAAAACUUGAUCUUACAAUCUCUCCCUUUUUGAUCAUGACAAAACUAAGAUUUUUGAUGAACAAUUCUUAAACAAUAAACUGAAUUCACUCAGAGUUUAGAGAUAUAGAAUAAGACUUAUCCUGAUGUGAAUAGUUUAUCUUGCUCAUUCUGAAUUCAAGUCACUGCUUGAUUCUGAGCUUAGCUCCCCCUGAAUCUAAUACUUGAUGAAAACGUUAGUAAAGUCUAGAUUCUGAGCUAAAUUAUAUAAGAGUUCAGAGUGAAAAACUUAUGACAUAGAUGAAAUAGAAUAAUCAGAGCGCAUAAGUAAUCAGAGUCAACGGACACGGUAUCAGAGUCUUGGGUAUCAGAGUCAAACUAAGAUCAUUUCAGAAGAAGUGAAAUGUAUUCCUUGUAUUUGCCCAGUGACACAUCUAUGGUCAUAAAGGUGGAACUCUUAAAUUCUCCAAAAUAAAAAUAAAUCACACUAACACAGCUUACACAUCAAAAACUGGUUGUACUCCCCCUUUUUGUCAUAAGCAAAAAGCCUGGGGUGUGAAAAACUUAGUUUGAAGUACAAGGUACUCCCCCUUAGAGAAGGUCUAAGUUUCAAAAGAAAUAAAAACGAUGCAUGAGUCAGAGUUAGGCGAAUUAAAGAGAAGAGUUAAUGCAAAAGAAGAGCGUUUACCACCGGCCAAGGGAGUAAAGAGAAGUUUCAGUUACCAAGAACUUAACCUCGAGAAACUGUAGGAGCAUUAACUAUCAGAGAGAAAGUGAAGCCUAUAUAAAGCGAAGAAGAAAAGAGGUAAGCUUCACAACUCGAUCAAUACCAUAAUCAGAAAUGGCUUCAUACAGGGUUGCACUAGAAGAGCUCAGAAGGAAGGCCUUCGAGGAGGACAUGUUCCUUAACAUAAGGCAUCCAGGGGGUACAAGGACCAUACCGGAGCUAGCAAGGACACUGCUUGAAGAGGACCUUUGUCCAGAGCUGAAGAAUGACUUGAAGGAAUUCCUUGCCUUCGUGGAGGAAGUGCAAGAACUCAGUCAGCUUGAACUGAAGCUGCUGGAAGAAAAGGAAAUCAUAGAGAAGAAGCUCAAAACAACAGAAGAGAUUCUGGAGAGGAAUGAGCUAAACGUCAAUCUCAACAACAUCCAGUAUUCACUGGAUCGUCUGGAGAAGGAGAGGUCAGAGCAGCGCCAAGAGUGCAGAAGAAUGAGGAGGCAUCCAUUCUAGAGUGUAGGAAAGAAAAUGUAUGAUGUAAAAGCAUAAUGAUUAUGAAUAAAGAAAAUUUUGCAAACACAUGAGACAAAUAUAUAUAUAUAUAUAUGUAUGUGCAAGCAUAAGUAACAACUAACAAAGUAGAAAAGCUAAAAUAACUUAAGGAAAAUAAGCAGAAGUUAAAAUAAAACUAAGUUAAGAGGGAAAACGAAGAGAUCCUAGGACUAGGGUUUAUCAUAGCGAUGCAGAAGUUCCAUCAUCAUUUGCUUCAUGUCCAUUAGUAGAGACUCAUGAGUAUCAAGACGUUUUUCCAUGAUGUCGAGUCUGGACGUGCUUGGCUGUGUGGAACUGGAAGGUAUAGACUGAGCAGCUUGAUGAGCCGGAAUGGAAGCAGAAACAGCAAGAGUAAACACUACUGGUGCAAGUGCUUGGCAUCUAAGGGCUUCAGCUUCAGCUUCAAGUCUUUCUGCCUCUAAUCUUGCUUGUUCAGCUUGAGCUGCUGCUUGACGUGCAACUUCUUCUGCCUGCUCUUGCUUUCUUCUGGCCUCUUCAACAGCUUCAAGGAGCUUAUGUCUUUGUUGUUGUUCAUGAAGAGCCACCCUUCUUGCAAACCUCUGCUUUGCAGCCUCGAUCCUCUGAUCCCUUUCUGUAGUCAGAUGCCUCAUCAAAAUAGGAACCUGAGCUACUAGCCAAGUACUCAGACUAUUCCACUCUUCAGCAACAGAUUCAGCAUUCUCACUCAGGUCAGUGUGACCUUGCACGUUGCGUAGCAUCAAUGAAGCUUCAUGAUUAAAAACAUUAAUGCACUCAGAGAGAGAGGUUGGUUUGAGGUAAGUGUAGGGAACUAUGGAGAGGUUGGUUUCAGGAGAGGUUGGGUGAUUGCUACUGUUUGCCUCAGAAACACCUUGAGGAGAACCAAUGUUAAAAGUUUGAGCAUUUGGUUCAGAGGCUCCAAGGUUUGGGUCAGAAGUUUCAACCAGAGGAUGUGGUGAUCUAACCGAAGAGUGGUUAGACACAGAGUGUUCUGGUUCUGGUUGAAUUGGCUCUUGAUGGAUAGGGUCAGGUUGAGCUUGUUGAGCUAAAGGAUCUGCCUCAUGUUAAGGGUCAGCCAAGAUAGGUUCAUCUGGGUCAACUAGACGGUCAGGUCUAGGUCCAGGGUAUCUCCUAGGGCUUGGGACCGUGAGGUAAUAUUCUGGGAUGGCAGACACUUUUUCUUUUCUGGCCUCCAUGAAUUUACGAUGUGACUCAGAGUUGUUUGAAGGUGAGGAGUCAGCAACGUUGAUUGGGAAUGAUACAGGGGUAUAGACAGAGGAAGAAUCUGUAUCAGUGGUUCUGGCAACCAGACGUUCUGAUGCUCUGGGGACAGAGUGAUCAGACGUUCUGGGUUCAGGUUCUGGUUGGACAGGAAUUGUGAAUUCAGGUUCAGAGGGUUCAAGAAUAAUGGGUUCAGAUGUUAAUGGAUUGUAUUGAAUGGUAAUGGGUGAGGUUGGAUCAGAGGUUCCGGUAGGUUGGUUCUGAAGCAUAUUCCAGAGAGGUGCUUCAUUUGGAGAAGGUUGGAAGAAUGAAGACCUUGGGGAAUUUGGUGGAGAUUUGAUUUGAACAGCAGGUUGAGACUCUGGUAUUGUAGUGAGUUGGGUGGAUGUGCGUUUGAGGAGGGUAGAAAUGGGAAGUGCAUCAAUAGAAUUUAAAUCAUCAUCAGAUUCAAUGAUAGCAGACUUACUUGUACGCACGGCAGAGCGAGUCACUCUGGCAGAAGUCUCUCUUCUGAUAACUGCAGCAGCAGGUUCCACCCGUGUAGGCUUCACCACGAUUCUGACUUGUUUCUUCUUCUUCUUGGGAGGAGAAGGACCAUCUCCAUUAUCACCAUCAUCAGCAUCAUCUGGCUUGGUAGUAUCAUCAUGCUUCCUCUUAUCAGCCUUUUUCUUCCUCUUUAGAGGAACAUCAGAUUCCUCAGAGGAUUCUUCUAAGACCAUCUUCCUCUAAACUUUCCUUUUGGGAGGAGAGUCAAACUCUGGAGCUGGUGGCAAUCGCCUGAAGAAUUCAUCUAAAUCAAUUUCAAGGCCUUGUGCUCUUAGGUCUUCAACAUAGCACCUAAUAGCUUCUGGGUUGUCUGCCUGUGUCCACAGAGGAUAGUCAUUCAGAGGGACUCUUCUUCUUCUGACUUCAUCUGAAGUGUCUUCAUGAGCAGGGUCUAUCCUCUUCUUGACCAAUCCCAUCUUCUUCAAAGAUGUGGAUGUGAAGACAUCACUCACAAUCAUAGUUAGAUCCUUAGUGCAGCCAGCAUUGAUCAUAUCUUCCACAAGUUUGCUUUCAAUGAAAAGAUAUGACAGCAGUCUUCCAAACGGAAUGUACUUGAUAGCAGACUUGAUGGAUGCAGUAGUUCUGGACUUCCUGAUGCAUUCUUUCAGGUAAGAAAAUAAGAAGUAGGGAAGGCAUAUCUGCUUCUUAUCCUGAAUGAAGAAUAGCAUCGCCUUCUGGCAGAAGUUGAUGUAGUCAGGAGAACUACCCUUUGGCCUCUGGUUGAUACAGUUGAGCAGAAUCUUGUGCCAGAUUCUGAGCUUGGGAUGAAGAUCCAACACCUUGUAAUCGGUCUUGCCCGGUUUGUAGUUGGUGUAGAGAGCCUUGUUGGUUUCUUCCCUUGUUCUGGGUUUCAACUUAGAUUCAGCCAGUUGAAAUCUAUACCCAGUUCCAGUGUGUGCACCCAGCAGAUUCACUAUAGACUUCUCCGUGACGAUUAUCCUCCUUCCAGCUAUGUACGAAACCACCUGAGUGUCAUCACACUCAGCGUCUUUCCAGAAUUCCUUGACCAAUUUGUCAUAAAUUGGUCCUCUUAGCAUGUUGAAAUACUCUUCCCAACCCUGAGCUUGAACUUCGGGACGAAGAUCAUACCCAUUUGCAGCUAUAUUGUCCGGGUCGAAUCUCCAUUCAGCAAGCACUUGGAGUUCUUCCGGAGCAUAAACACAGUGAACGGCACAGCCCCGUUCUGCAAUCGGAAUCAUCUGCUCUUGAGCCGGAGCUUGAGUCGGAGUUUCAGGACCCAAUUGACAUGUAGCUUGCCCUACUACCAUGUGAGGAAACCUUGUUGCACCUGCAGCUGCGUUUCUGGUUUGUCUUGCCAUUUGAGCGGUUGAAGGUUUUGGGUAGAGAGGAAGGAUGAAUAUAAAGAAUUGAGAGAGAAAGAGAUCGUGGGUGAGAGGUUUUGAAAAACUGAAGAGAGAGAAUCUAAAACCUUUAGUGUAGGAGAACGUGUGUGUAUAGUGGGUUUUUAAAAGUAACCGUUGUUGAUCAAAAAGAAAUUUAAAAUCAACGGUUGAAAAUUAAAGACAUCAUAGUAACAGUAAAUACACAUAUCACACGCAGGAGAGAAGCACAUCUACACACAUUAUGACAGACUGUCACACGGGCACAAGGAACUAUGCAUCAGAGAUACUGACACACGUUUACUGUCUCAGUUUCAGAGUCAGCACCAAUGGGUACAUACACUCUGAUAGAGUUACCUUCUGGACUAGACAUCUUCUGAUCAAGAAGUAUCAUAGUCAGAGGUUCUGAUCCAUCUUCAUUCUGGACAAAAGUCCAUAUUCAGAUUUUUCAGAAUAAAAUUAAAUCUAUCCUCUGCUAAGGGCUUUGUAAAGAUAUCUGCCCAUUGAUGGUCAGUAUCAACAAACUUCAGAAGAAGUACGCCCUUCUGUACAUAAUCUCUAAUAAAGUGAUACUUUACCUCAAUGUGCUUUGCCCUUGAAUGUAAGAUAGGAUUCUUACUCAAUGAUAUUGCAGCAGUGUUAUCACAAUAGAUUGGGAUAUUGCUCUCAAGGAUCUGAUAAUCCUCCAGCUGAUGUUUCAUCCAAAGCAUCUAAGUGCUGCAUAUUGCUGCUGAGAUAUAUUCUGCCUCUGCAGUAGAUAGUGCAAUGGUUGAUUGCCUCUUGCUUGCCCAUGAGACUAAGUUACUUCCCAGAAAUUGACAGUUUCCAGAAGUACUUUUUCUCUCUGUUCUAUCUCCAGCAUAAUCAGCAUCACAAUAACCUGAAAGCUUAUACUCUGAUGUCUUCUUAUACAUCAAGCCAAGGUCAGUGGUGCCUUUCAGAUACCUUAGGAUCCUCUUAACAGCAGUUAAGUGGGUUUCCCUUGGAUCUGAUUGGAAACGAGCACAUAAAUGAACACUAAACAGUAUAUCUGGCCUAGAUGUAGUUAAGUAUAGAAGUGAACCUAUCAUACCACGAUAGAGCUUCUGACAAACUUUACCACUUGCAUCUUCUUUCUCCAUAAUGCAUGUAGGAUGCAUUGGAGUCUUAGCAACUGUAGAUUCCAGCAUAUUGAACUUCUUCAGAAGUUCUUUUGUGUACUUGCUCUGAUGGAUAUAUGUUCCUUCUGGUGUUUGAUCAACUUGAAUUCCCAGAAAGUAUUUGAGUUCUCCCAUCAUACUCAUCUCAAAUUCAGCCUGCAUCAUCUCAGAAAAUUCUUUGCAUAGAGAUUGAUUAGCAGAACCAAAUAUAAUAUCAUCAACAUAAAUUUGCACAAUUAAGAUAUCAUCUUUAUAAGUUUUGCAAAAGAGAGUUGUAUCUACUUUACCCCUUACAAACUCAUUCUCCAGAAGGAAUGAGCUGAGUCUCUCAUACCAUGCUCUAGGAGCUUGCUUCAGACCAUAGAGUGAUUUCUUCAGUUUGAACACAUGGUCUGGGUUCUUCUCAUCUUCAAAACCUGGGGGUUGAUGAACAUAGACUUCCUCUGAAAUGUAACCAUUUAGGAAGGCACUCUUCACAUCCAUCUGAUGAAGAACUAUGUUGUGAUUCACUGAGAAAGAGAUCAGCAGUCUGAUUGCUUCUAGUCUAGCUACUGGAGCAAAUGUUUCAGUGUAGUCAAUUCCUUCCUGCUGACUGUAGCCUUGAGCAACUAGCCUUGCCUUGUUUCUGACUACAUCUCCUUUCUCAUUCAACUUGUUUCUGAACACCCAUUUGGUUCCAAUCACAUGAACACUUUCAGGCUUCUUCACUAAGCUCCAAACAACAUUCUUGGAAAAUUGAUUCAAUUCUUCUUCCAUGGCCAGAAUCCAAUCCUUGUCCUGAAGAGCUUCAUCUAUGGACUUGGGUUCAAUUAAGGACACCAAUCCUUUCAGACUGAGCAAGGUCUCUUCAGAGGGUCUGAACGCUGAUCUGGUUCUGACUGGUUCAUCUUUGUUGCCCAGAAUCAAUUCCUUAGGAUGUGAUGCAAUGAUUCUACUUUUCUUCUAAGGUUGUGAAUCAGAGGGACCAGCUUCUUCUUCUGGAUCAUCUUCCUCUGGCUCAGCUUCCUCUGGAGCUUUGCCUUUGUCAGAAACAUUAAUACUUAAAUCUGCAAAUUUCUCAACUAGCUUUGACUGAUCAGAGUCAAGCUUAUCAUCAAAUCUAACAUGAAUAGACACUUCAAUAGUCUUAGCAUCAGUAUUAUAAAAUCUAAAACCUUUAGAUCUUUCAGAGUAACCAAGUAAUAGACAUUUAGAUGAUUUAGCAUCAAAUUUCUGCAAUCUAUCCUUAGUAUUAAGAACAUAACAAACACAACCAAAAGGAUGCAAGUAAGAAAUGUUGGGUUUAAUGUUCUUCCACAAUUCAUAAGGAGUCUUAUUCAGAAUUGGUCUCACAGAGAUUUUGUUCUGAAUGUAACAUGCUGUAUUUACUGCCUCUGCCCAAAAGUGCUUAGCCAUGCCAGUUUCUUGGAGCAUGGUUCUAGCCAUCUCCUGAAGAGUUCUGUUCUUCCUCUCAACAACACCAUUUUGUUGAGGAGUUAUGGGACAAGAGAAAUCAUGUGCAAUUCCAUAGGAAUCAAACAGACUCUCAAACUUGUCAUUCUCAAACUCUCCACCAUGGUCACUUCUGACACGCACAAUCCUACAAGCCUUCUCGUUUUGCACUUGGGCUAUGAAGGUAGAGAACACAGCAUGAGACUCAUCCUUGCGGGUUAGAAACUUCACCCAUGUCCAGCGGCUAUAGUCGUCAACGAUGACCAUCCCAUAUCUCUUGCCACCUAUAGACUCAGUUUUCACUGGUCCAAACAGGUCGAUAUGCAGAAGUUCCAACGGCCUUGAGGUUGAGACAACAUUCUUUGCCUUGAAAGGGACUUUAGUGAAUUUGCCUUUCUGACAUGCUUCACAAAGAGCGUCUGAAGAGAACUUCAGAGUGGGUAAGCCCCUGACAAGGUUUAGCUUACUCAGCUGAGAAAUCUUUCUCAUACUGGCAUGCCCUAACCGUCUAUGCCAUACCCAUUGCUCUUCAUUAACAGACAGAAGGCACUUCACAUUCUGAGCCUCCAACUCAGAUAAUCUGAUCUUAUAAAUGUUGUUCUUCCUCUUGCUGUUAAACAGAACAGAGCCAUUGAUCUGACUUACAGCCCUGCAAGACUUUUGAUUGAAAAUAACAUCAUAACCCUUGUCAGCUAAUUGACUUAUAGACAAUAAGUUAUGAGUUAAGCCGUCUACCAAUAGAACAUUAUCAAUGCAUGGACUACUAUCCACACAAAUAGUACCAGUACCAACAAUUUUACCCUUUUCAUUUCCUCCAAAGCCAACUUCGCCUCCAGGCUUAAGUUUUAGCUCUUGGAACAUACGCCUUUCUCCCGUCAUGUGACACGAGCAUCCACUGUCCAGAUACCAUGAUUGGUGUUUCAGUGGAGCUAUCAAGGAUAUCUGCAACAUAGAUAAUCUUGUCCUUAGGUACCCACUUUCUGGGUCCUCUCUUGUUAGUUACCCCAGAGGUUCUGAUCACCUUGGGUUUCUCAACAUGAUAAUGUAAAGGAAUUUUUGCAUGAUAUUUAGACAUAGAGAAAGAUCCCUUUUUGAGAGGGGGUUUAGCAACUUCAGCAGGUAAAGGAUCAGGCAAUAUGGUACCAGAGGGAACAAAGCAUUCAUAUAAAGAUUUAGCUUUAGACACAGAGGGCUCAUUUCUAAUUGGUUUAGAAUAGCCAAUGCCAUGCAUUCCAUUUCUGCUUACGCCAUAGAUCAUUGAAGCCAUUAGGCUUCUAUCUACGCUCUUAGCCAGGAAUCUUUGAAAAGACUUUUCAUACUUAGAUUCAUUUCUACAAUCAGAGGCAUCAAAAGCAACUAUUUCUUCUAACUUAGCAAUCUGGUUCUUAAGCACAGAGUUAGAAUUGAUCAAAGCAUGAUUAUCAUUUUUCAAAUCUGAAAUAAUUUUCUCAUGUUCAGAAGGAGUCUUUGAAGCAGCAGAUAAGUCCUUUUUCAACCUUUUAUGCUUAGACAAUAAAGAGUUAUACUUAUCCAUGAUAUCAGACAAAGCAUGUUUCAGUUCAGAGGUAGAGAAUGAAGCGAAUACCUCAUUUUCAUCGUCUGAAUUAGGAUCUCCUUCUGAUUCUGAGUCAGAGUCAACAGCUUCCUUUGACUCUACUCCUUUGUCUUUGACAAUAGCCAUGAGUCCUUGGACUUCACCAUCAGAGUCAACAUCCUCUGAUUCUGAUUCAUCAAAUGUCACCAUCAGACUCUUCUUCGUCUUGAAGUGCUUCUUUGGCUUCUUGUCCUUCUUCAACUUUGGACAAUCACUUUUGUAGUGCCCUGAUUCUUUGCACUCAAAGCAUGUGACUUCCUUAAUUGAUGACUUCUUCUGGCCUGAAGAUUCAGACUUUCAUUUUGCCUUUCCAGAGCCUUUGAACUUGCUCUGCAUGUGCUUCCAGAUGCGGUUGAGUCUCUUGGAGAUCAGAGUCAGCUCAUCUUCAUCAGAAUCUUCUGAUGCGUCUUCAGAUUCUUCUGCUUCAGCUUGGAGAGCCUUUGACUUUUCAGCCUUAGCCUUUUCAGAUUUGGAUUUCAAGGCUAUAGACUUUUUCCUCAGAUCUUGCAUCUCAGAACGCUUCAGCUCAUGGCAUUUCAGAAUGCUAAUGAGUUCUUCUACACUCAUAUGCUCGACAUCUCUUGUGAGCUCUAUUGAUGUCACUAAAGGCAUCCAGCUUUCAGGAAGACACCUGAUGACCCUUAUGACAUGAUCUUUUGUUGUGUAGCUCUUAUUGAGAGGUCGUAUUCCCGCUACAAGCAACUGAAAUCUGGAGAACAUUUCUUCAAUGGACUUAUUUGGCUCCAUGAUGAAGGAUUCAUACUUUUGGAACAAAGACAAUGCCUUUGAUUCUUUAACUUUCUUGUUUCCUUCAUGAGACAUCUUUAGAGAUUCAAAAAUGCCUUUUGCAAACUCACGAUCUGUAAUCUUCUGGUACUCUUCAUAAGAAAUAGCACUUAGAAGAAUUGCUCUGUAAGACCCAAGUUUUUAAGCUUAGAAUAAGUGGAAGAGAUUUCCAUUUACGAUUAGGCUUGACGUAUCGUGAAGGAAAAACCUGAACAAGAGUUUAUCGAAAGGAAUAAAUUUAUGAAGGAGAAAGUUCAGGAAAAGUCUAAGGAUUUCAUCAAAGUCGAUAAAAGGUAUAGCACGAUCGAUAUACGCUUAAACCUAGGGCAGAAACCCUAGUAAAUAGCUAGUUUACACUUAAAGUCGCGAUGGAAGCUAAUUCCAAAAAUCUUCAGAGAAAUGUUAGAACUUCUCUUAAUCCUUAUAUGGCAAUCGUUUCAAGGCGAAACCCUUGAAUCUACGAACGUCCGAUUCCAAUCCUCGGAAGUUUGCCGAAACUAGAACCCUGAUAGUUCAAGAACCCUAGAAUCAACCGACGAUGAAGACUUUUUCUAUUCGGAGCUUCAAAUGAAGAUUCCACACGCGUACACCCAUUUCUCUUGAUGAUUUCAAUCUUUCUUCAGAAGGAAGUUUUCUAUUCCGACAUCGACUGCAAAAAGUAACUUAUCGGGUAAAAUAGUUUUACACCGACUUUGUAUUAGUUACCAAAAAUACAAGGAAACCUCUUUUGAGUUUUGGAUUUAUGUCGCCAAAACCUAUCUUAGAAUUCACGGUGAAUGAAGCCGGAAAAAAUCAGAUUCGCGAAACUUUCAUUUUACCGCGUUUUUUCAUCCUCUAUAUAGCAAGCCUCGAAAACCAAAAAUCAUACUGAUAUUUCUUUGAAGAAUUAGAAGAUUCAGCGGGGAGAAUAUCGUGUCUAGAAUACGUUGGAAUCAGUAGGAAGAAUCGGAAAUCACUCUCAUAUUUUUAUCUUAACUCUAUGAGCUAAAUCCUCUGAUAUCUAAACAAAUCUGUACCGGUUUACAAAAUAUCUAUUCAUCUUUAUCCAAUCUUUGAUAAAUAUCUAUUCAUCUUUAUCCAAUCUUUGAUAAAUAUCUAUUCAUCCUCAUCCAAUCUUUACAAAAUAUCUUCCAUUUCAUUCACUAUAUAUAGGUUGUUGUAGCUUGAAAAAUGAAAAACAAAAACCUCACAAACACACACACACAACCCGCGGCUUGGAGAGAAGAAGGAGGAGGAGAGCUUUUCGCUGAUUCUUGUCUGAUCGUCCCACAGUUCGUUGCUACGCGUAGGCCUCAAGGUACUGACGCUUUUCCUUACUUAUGAUCGUAAAUUAUGUAGCUUUUCUCUAUACUUUUCUGUGCUCUUAGUUUUGAGGUUUUUGCAAAACUAUCUAGAUAACUUCAUCUUUCUAUCUAAACUUAUUCCCUGCGUGCCCCUGAGCAUGUUUAGCAGAUUACAUUUCGCUGAUUCUCGCCGAAAUGCCGCCGAGUUUCAAUUCUGCUCAUAAUACCCAUUUUUGGCUAAAGUUCCAACCUUUGGGCUUAAAACCCUCGACUGAGCUUAGCGUUAGUAAGAUUAGUCGUCAUAAUCGUCGUUAGUAUCAACCCCAUCUAAUUUGUUUUUCGAAAUUCUGAUUUUGAAAUUCUGAGCUGAAAAUAAUGACCAAAAUACCCCUGCGACAGUUUUCGAUCCGAUAAUUUUUCCGAGUUUAGAAUACCCUUAGUUACGACUAAUGAUAACCUAGGAACCAAGUUUGAUCGAAGAAAAAUCGACCCACCUAAUUACCAAUAGUGGCCGAGACUACCCUAGGAGGAGGAAGAAAAUUCUUUUUCGAAAACUUGUCCUUUCGCGCUAGAUUAUCGUGCCUCGGAGUAUAUACUACUUCGUGCAACCUUAGUGAGUUUUGAUAGCUUAGUUUCCGAUAGAUUUUGAUAGACUUCUGUGGUUUUACUUUAAAGGGUCAUUUGAAGAGUUUCCAGUGGAACAAGGCUUUGACUGUGAAGAAACGUUAGAAGAGGACCCUGGAGAAUCUACAGGUGAGGGCUUCUCACUGAACUAUUAGCUAAUGCUUUAGGUGUCGACGAAUUCGACUUGAUUUACUGUUUAUGCACUUGUUUGUGUUUGCCUAGAAAAAUGUUUUCUGAGGCUUCGGCUGACAAUGUAGAUCAUUCAUCUACUGACUUUUUUUUGAGUUUUGAAUCAUAUGCUAUGUGCUACAUGGUUAAUCUAGGAUGUGUGAUAUCUGCUAAUUAUGCUAAGUGCUACGUGUUUAAAUUAGGAUAUGUUGAUACAUGAUUUAUGAUUGUUGGAUUGUGCUAACUUAACUAUGCUAUUGCACAUAUAUCUGUUAUGCUUCAGAGUGAGGAUAACGGGCAUGUCAUGCCGAAUUUAUUUUGAGAUUUUGAGGAAGUUUGAUGGGACGGACCGAGGUUCGUACCCUAUUAUUGUUUUAUGGAUCGAGACCUUCUCAAAGGAAAAUUGAGUUUGAAAAUGAUAUUGGAAAAACCCCAUUUGAAUUCACGUAAGAACUUGGGUUGUUCUGUCUAAGGCAAGAAGGGCUUUUAAUGAGGCAUUGUGCCCGGCCAGCUUACCUGGGAACUUCUCGGGCCAUUACUUGGGUGAUGAUGGACCUUUUGUUCGGAGACCUUCUCCAGGGAAUCAUUGGAAUUAUAGGAUCUUGGAAACUAAUAGGAUUAGAGACGAAACUUAAACAAUUUCAUAAUGAACCUCCAUAAUGUAUUAAACAACCUCUAAACCCCUUAAUAUAAUGAUAAAAGACUCAGACGAAAGUUUAGGGCUUGAACAUUAAGUUUUGAAAAUGAGAAGUGUCGUCGAGUCCAAGAGUUGAGAAAACUAAUAAGUUUCUGAGUAUGUUGAUACUCCUUCGCUCUUUGAGCAGUUUGUUUAGCCAUCCAAGGGAUGAGCCGAGAAGCUUCACUGAGGCGUGAGACCUUGUGAAAGCGUGAAUCUUCACUGAGGCGUGAGACCUUGUGAAAAGCAUAGAUCUUCACUGAGGCGUGAGACCUCGUGAACAGCAUGAAACUUCACUGAAGCGUAAGACUUCGUGCAAGUGUGUAAAUUCACUGAGGCGUGAGACCUUGUGAAAGCAUAAAACUUCACUGAAGCGUGAGACUUCGUGAUUGUAUAAGACUCCACUGAAGCGUGAGACUUCGUGAGAGCAUUGAUGACUCGAAGAGUUAUCGUGAGUGUUUGCACUCUUUUUAUGAUUAACUGUAUUUUGUCGCCGAAUCGACAUUUGCCUUAGGGUAUUCUUUUUAGAGACUAUAAGUUAGCUAGAACACGUGGCGACGUGUCGAGUGAGGUCGGAGACGUUGUUUGACUAAUCACUUUGCAUUCAUGCACACAUUUUGAGGUUAAUACACGGCGUGAUACCGGACCUCGGUGGAUUCCAAAAUGGUCAUAAGACCCGGAUUUCCAUAUAAGAACAUUGCGGUGAUUCUUAGUAGCAGACGAAAAUGGCAGACCUUCGGGUUCACUACUGAUCUGACUACACUUUGUGUGGUGUAAGAGACACGCGAGCGGAAAUGGUCCCACCGUUGCCGGUGCUAGGAUUGACUCGUUAGUGCCCAUCCGUUCCGGAAUGCAUUUUGUUAACCAGCAUUGCAUUUCAUGCAACAUGCAUACUGACUUAGUUGCUGAGUGUGAUUGAUAAUUGUUAAUCCUAUUUGUUGCAUGCUAAUUGUUAUUAUCGUCCUUUAUAUUCAUUGUGAAAUAUACAACCCUAGGAUGCUAUCUCUAACUUAUAAGCCUAAGUAGCUAUCCCUUAAACUUUAUCUACUGGGUGUAUUACUUAUGUAAUUCUUUGGAGUUGACCCUCGCGUCUUCUGUGUGUGUUUUGGCGGACAAACGCCCAUUGUCAGAUGUCUUUGGCGGACCGGUUCACGAUGGUUCACCCUUCGGGGGGGACUAGAUACGAGAUGAUAGAUCAGGAUGACUCCGGCGCGUGGGUGGUCGACCCCGCUGGCCAUCGAGCGACGUACUCGGGUAGGAUCAUGGAGGAUCGUGUCGACAGCUUAGGACACUUGACGGAAGGAGUGCUGAGGACGGUGUACAUAGACUUGGUCGUUCUGGAUUCGGAUUCGGACGACGAUCACGCUAGAAUGUUGGAUUGAGUGUUAGUGUGAGCUCCUCGAGACAGGAUUAGUGUAGGAGUAGAGUCUUAGCUCUGACCGUUAUGUUUUCUUUUGGGAACAGGGUAGUUUCCCGCCGAUAGCUUUUUGUGUGGUUUCUUUACGGGAAUCACAGAGAGUUGGUUGGACUUAGGAGGUCUUGUUUUAGGCCUUUUGGGCUGCCUUAUUCUCUUUUUAAGGGAUGGUGUUGCGGACACUUGACCUUUCUUUUGGAUUGUACCUUUUUCCUACGGGCGUUACCUUCUGUUACUUCUCGUCACUGGAGGUUUACUCGUGACAUGGGUUGCUACUUACAGCGGGGGCUGUAUUUAUAUUGCAUAUUAGUUCCGUUAUCUUUCGUUGUCGAGUUUCAUUUCUUUCAGUCUUUGGUUCUAUUAUCAUCAAAAAAAAUAUAUUCACGUUUUUCCGCUUAUGUAUUUCUUUUGGUUACUAAAGUGACGCCACCGAAAUCGGGGUGUUACAUUGUGGUAUCAGAGCUUGUCGAGUCUUUCGGGAGUCUUUGGGGAAUAGGUCUUCUGUGCUAGGUUGUGUGACUCUGCAAAGAGUGAAAAUUGAUUGUCUGCAAGUGAUUUUUCGCUUAGAAUUGAUUGAAGUUAUUGCUUAAUCAUAUUGUAUAGCAUGUUAGAUGUUAUCUUAUGAUGAGUACUAACUGUUUAAUUGACUUAACAGAACCUAGAUGUUAUCCUAGAAAUGGAUUGGUUGUCUCACUAUCAUUGUCUUUUGGACGAACAAAAGCAAAGGAGCAAGUGGUCGAGCCGGACAGCAUAGAGCUGAAAGAUGAUAUGUCUAUUGAGACGCCGUCGGUCAACAUUGGGACUAGAAGAGUGAAACAAUCGAGGGGAAAGCAGAGUGCUUUAAUAGAAGUUAUUUGGAACGAAGACACGGACGGUGCUAUAUGGGAAUUAGAGAAGAAGAUCAAGGAAUAAUAUCCGGAGCUUUUACUGAACCCUAAGUUUCGAGGACGAAACUUUCUUUUUGGAGGGUAGUAAUGUAAGACCCAAGUUUUUAAGCUUAGAAUAAGUGGAAGAGAUUUCCAUUUACGAUUAGGCUUGACGUAUCGUGAAGGAAAAACCUGAACAAGAGUUUAUCGAAAGGAAUAAAUUUAUGAAGGAGAAAGUUCAGGAAAAGUCUAAGGAUUUCAUCAAAGUCGAUAAAAGGUAUAGCACGAUCGAUAUACGCUUAAACCUAGGGCAGAAACCCUAGUAAAUAGCUAGUUUACACUUAAAGUCGCGAUGGAAGCUAAUUCCAAAAAUCUUCAGAGAAAUGUUAGAACUUCUCUUAAUCCUUAUAUGGCAAUCGUUUCAAGGCGAAACCCUUGAAUCUACGAACGUCCGAUUCCAAUCCUCGGAAGUUUGCCGAAACUAGAACCCUGAUAGUUCAAGAACCCUAGAAUCAACCGACGAUGAAGACUUUUUCUAUUCGAAGCUUCAAAUGAAGAUUCCACACGCGUACACCCAUUUCUCUUGAUGAUUUCAAUCUUUCUUCAGAAGGAAGUUUUCUAUUCCGACAUCGACUGCAAAAAGUAACUUAUCGGGUAAAAUAGUUUUACACCGACUUUGUAUUAGUUACCAAAAAUACAAGGAAACCUCUUUUGAGUUUUGGAUUUAUGUCGCCAAAACCUAUCUUAGAAUUCACGGUGAAUGAAGCCGGAAAAAAUCAGAUUCGCGAAACUUUCAUUUUACCGCGUUUUUUCAUCCUCUAUAUAGCAAGCCUCGAAAACCAAAAAUCAUACUGAUAUUUCUUUGAAGAAUUAGAAGAUUCAGCGGGGAGAAUAUCGUGUCUAGAAUACGUUGGAAUCAGUAGGAAGAAUCGGAAAUCACUCUCAUAUUUUUAUCUUAACUCUAUGAGCUAAAUCCUCUGAUAUCUAAACAAAUCUGUACCGGUUUACAAAAUAUCUAUUCAUCUUUAUCCAAUCUUUGAUAAAUAUCUAUUCAUCUUUAUCCAAUCUUUGAUAAAUAUCUAUUCAUCCUCAUCCAAUCUUUACAAAAUAUCUUCCAUUUCAUUCACUAUAUAUAGGUUGUUGUAGCUUGAAAAAUGAAAAAACAAAAACCUCACAAACACACACACACAACCCGCGGCUUGGAGAGAAGAAGGAGGAGGAGAGCUUUUCGCUGAUUCUUGUCUGAUCGUCCCACAGUUCGUUGCUACGCGUAGGCCUCAAGGUACUGACGCUUUUCCUUACUUAUGAUCGUAAAUUAUGUAGCUUUUCUCUAUACUUUUCUGUGCUCUUAGUUUUGAGGUUUUUGCAAAACUAUCUAGAUAACUUCAUCUUUCUAUCUAAACUUAUUCCCUGCGUGCCCCUGAGCAUGUUUAGCGGAUUACAUUUCGCUGAUUCUCGCCGAAAUGCCGCCGAGUUUCAAUUCUGCUCAUAAUACCCAUUUUUGGCUAAAGUUCCAACCUUUGGGCUUAAAAUCCUCGACUGAGCUUAGCGUUAGUAAGAUUAGUCGUCAUAAUCGUCGUUAGUAUCAACCCCAUCUAAUUUGUUUUUCGAAAUUCUGAUUUUGAAAUUCUGAGCUGAAAAUAAUGACCAAAAUACCCCUGCGACAGUUUUCGAUCCGAUAAUUUUUCCGAGUUUAGAAUACCCUUAGUUACGACUAAUGAUAACCUAGGAACCAAGUUUGAUCGAAGAAAAAUCGACCCACCUAAUUACCAAUAGUGGCCGAGACUACCCUAGGGGGAGGAAGAAAAUUCUUUUUCGAAAACUUGUCCUUUCGCGCUAGAUUAUCGUGCCUCGGAGUAUAUACUACUUCGUGAAACCUUAGUGAGUUUUGAUAGCUUUGUUUCCGAUAGAUUUUGAUAGACUUCUGUGGUUUUACUUUAAAGGGUCAUUUGAAGAGUUUCCAGUGGAACAAGGCUUUGACUGUGAAGAAACGUUAGAAGAGGACCCUGGAGAAUCUACAGGUGAGGGCUUCUCACUGAACUAUUAGCUAAUGCUUUAGGUGUCGACGAAUUCGACUUGAUUUACUGUUUAUGCACUUGUUUCUGUUUGCCUAGAAAAAUGUUUUCUGAGGCUUCGGCUGACAAUGUAGAUCAUUCAUCUACUGACUGUUUUUUUGAGUUUUGAAUCAUAUGCUAUGUGCUACAUGGUUAAUCUAGGAUGUGUGAUAUCUGCUAAUUAUGCUAAGUGCUACGUGUUUAAAUUAGGAUAUGUUGAUACAUGAUUUAUGAUUGUUGGAUUGUGCUAACUUAACUAUGCUAUUGCACAUAUAUCUGUUAUGCUUCAGAGUGAGGAUAACGGGCAUGUCAUGCCGAAUUUAUUUUGAGAUUUUGAGGAAGUUUGAUGGGACGAACCGAGGUUCGUACCCUAUUAUUGUUUUAUGGAUCGAGACCUUCUCAAAGGAAAAUUGAGAUUGAAAAUGAUAUUGGAAAAACCCCAUUUGAAUUCACGUAAGAACUUGGGUUGUUCUGUCUAAGGCAAGAAGGGCUUUUAAUGAGGCAUUGUGCCCGGCCAGCUUACCUGGGAACUUCUCGGGCAAUUACUUGGGUGAUGAUGGACCUUUUGUUUUGAGACCUUCUCCAGGGAAUCAUUGGAAUUAUAGGAUCUUGGAAACUAAUAGGAUUAGAGACGAAACUUAAACAAUUUCAUAAUGAACCUCCAUAAUGUAUUAAACAACCUCAAAACCUCUUAAUAUAAUGAUAAAAGACUCAGACGAAAGUUUAGGGCUUGAACAUUAAGUUUUGAAAAUGAGAAGUGUCGUCGAGUCCAAGAGUUGAGAAAACUAAUAAGUUUCUGAGUAUGUUGAUACUCCUUCGCUCUUUGAGCAGUUUGUUUAGCCAUCCAAGGGAUGAGCCGAGAAGCUUCACUGAGGCGUGAGACCUUGUGAAAGCGUGAAUCUUCACUGAGGCGUGAGACCUUGUGAAAAGCAUGGAUCUUCACUGAGGCGUGAGACCUCGUCAACAGCAUGAAACUUCACUGAAGCGUAAGACUUCGUGCAAGUGUGUAAAUUUACUGAGGCGUGAGACCUUGUGAAAGCAUAAAACUUCACUGAAGCGUGAGACUUCGUGAUUGUAUAAGACUCCACUGAUGCGUGAGACUUCGUGAGAGCAUUGAUGACUCGAAGAGUUAUCGUGAGUGUUUGCACUCUUUUUAUGAUUAACUAUAUUUUGUCGCCGAAUCGACAUUUGCCUUAGGGUAUUCUUUUUAGAGACUAUAAGUUAGCUAGAACACGUGGCGACGUGUCGAGUGAGGUCGGAGACGUUGUUUGACUAAUCACUUUGCAUUCAUGCACACAUUUUGAGGUUAAUACACGGCGUGAUACCGGACCUCGGUGGAUUCCAAAAUGGUCAUAAGACCCGGAUUUCCAUAUAAGAACACUGCGGUGAUUCUUAGUAGCAGACGGAAAUGGCAGACCUUCGGGUUUACUGCUGAUCUGACUACACUUUGUGUGGUGUAAGAGACACGCGAGCGGAAAUGGUCCCACCGUUGCUGGUGCUAGGAUUGACUCGUUAGUGCCCAUCCGUUCCGGAAUGCAUUAUGUUAACCAGCAUUGCAUUUCAUGCAACAUGCAUACUGACUUAGUUGCUGAGUGUGAUUGAUAAUUAUUAAUCCUAUUUGUUGCAUGCUAAUUUUUAUUAUCGUCCUUUAUAUUCAUUGUGAAAUAUACAACCCUAGGAUGCUAUCUCUAACUUAUAAGCCUAAGUAGCUAUCCCUUAAACUUUAUCUACUGGGUGUAUUACUUAUGUAAUUCUUUGGAGUUGACCCUCGCGUCUUCUGUGUGUGUUUUGGCGGACAAACGCCCAUUGUCAGAUGUCUUUGGCGGACUGGUUCACGAUGGUUCACCCUUCGGGGGGGACUAGAUACGAGAUGAUAGAUCAGGAUGACUCCGGCGCGUGGGUGGUCGACCCCGCUGGCCAUCGCGCGACGUACUCGGGUAGGAUCAUGGAGGAUCGUGUCGACAGCUUAGGACAUUUGACGGAAGGAGUGCUGAGGACGGUGUACAUAGACUUGGUCGUUCUGGAUUCGGAUUCGGACGACGAUCACGCUAGAAUGUUGGAUUGAGUGUUAGUGUGAGCUCCUCGAGACAGGAUUAGUGUAGGAGUAGAGUCUUAGCUCUGACCGUUAUGUUUUCUUUUGGGAAGAGGGUAGUUUCCCGCCGAUAGCUUUUUGUGUGGUUUCUUUACUGGAAUCACAGAGAGUUGGUUGGACUUAGGAGGUCUUGUUUUAGGCCUUUUGGGCUGCCUUAUUCUCUUUUUAAGGGAUGGUGUUACGGACACUUGACCUUUCUUUUGGAUUGUACCUUUUGCCUACGGGCGUUACCUUCUGUUACUUCUCGUCACUGGAGGUUUACUCGUGACGUGGGUUGCUACUUACAGUGGGGGCUGUAUUUAUAUUGCAUAUUAGUUCCAUUAUCUUUCGUUGUCGAGUUUCAUUUCUUUCAGUCUUUGGUUCCAUCUUUCUGUGUUUCACUGGUAGUAGCCAUUGUUUUUCACACCGGCCUGGAUCACUGAAGACUGUUAGGUGUGGUAAUCAGAACUUGCGCUCUGAUACCAAUUGAAGGUAUGAAAAACGGUAGAAAGGGGGGGUUUGAAUAACGUUUUCAAGAUAAAACUUCCACCUUAAAGAUUUUGGCAAAUCUUUCGAAACAAACUAUGUGCUAAAGAUAAGAGAUAGAAAAGCACACAGGGAUUUUAUCCUGGUUCACUUGAUAAAUCACUCAAGCUAAUCCAGUCCACCCGUUAAGGUGAUUUCUUCCUUCUUAGAAUGAAGGCAAUCCACUAAUCAGUUAUGUGUUACAACUGCACUUGAAACCUACAAGUGACUAACAAUACACUGACUUAGCUCACACUAAGAUUCACUCUCUUAGUCUUCUCUAGGAUCCGAUCAACCUUGAUCACCUAAAGGCAAACUAUACAACUGUAUAUGAAGUUCUUGUUUACACAGAAAGUGCUUCUAAAAAGCUUAUAGUAAACACAAUGAAAUUCAAGACGAAAGAAAGCUUAGAAGGAUUUGAAUAUUUCUUGCGCGUGUGUGAAUGCUUCUAACCGCUUCUUUCAAUCUUCAGCCUCUAUUUAUACUCCAAGGAUUAGUGUUGAACGUUGCAUGGAAAUGCUACCGUUGGAGGGCAGUUCUGGAAAUUCCAGCUUCUGCUGUGGCUGAGGAUGUUAGGUAGGUCGUCAGGAUAGUACACUUUGCUUUUGUACUUUGGAUAGUGACUUGACCUUAACCACGUAGACUUCUGAUCAGAGGAGCGCUUCGUAUUGGAACUUGUGAAGCUGAUUGAUCAGAGUCAGAGGGAAGCUUGGAUCCUCUGACCGUUGUACCUUCUGAUCUUCACUUCAGAGGAUCAGUACAUGGUCUUCAGAGCCAGUUGCUUCUGGACUUCAGAGUCUUCACUCUUCAGAGUCUGGAUCGUCAGAGUCUUCUACACCAUCAGAGCUUCUGAGCCUUCAGAGUCUUUUGGUUGUCAGAUCUUCUGGAUCAUCAGAGCUUCAAGUGAGCUGAGUCCUUAUCA
RNAcentral lists this long non-coding RNA (20867 nucleotides) under Lotus japonicus. Its description in RNAcentral is "long non-coding RNA (LJAP_LNC001033)". Lineage: Eukaryota; Viridiplantae; Streptophyta; Magnoliopsida; Fabales; Fabaceae. The record is from RNAcentral.